UAGUCCACGCUGUAAACGAUGAUCACUAGAUGUUCGGCCUUCGGGUUGAGUGUCCCAGCGAAAGCGAUAAGUGAUCCACCUGGGGAGUACGUCGGCAACGAUGAAACUCAAAGGAAUUGACGGGGGCCCGCACAAGCGGUGGAGCAUGUGGUUUAAUUCGAUGAUACGCGAGGAACCUUACCUAGGCUACAAUGCCUUUGCCAUACUGUGAAAGCAGUAGUUCCUUCGGGACAAAGUGCAAGGUGCUGCAUGGUUGUCGUCAGCUCGUGUUGUGAGAUGUUGGGUUAAGUCCCGCAACGAGCGCAACCCUCGUCGUUAGUUACCAUCAUUAAGUUGGGCACUCUAACGAGACCGCUAGGCUAUAAGCCAGAGGAAGGUGGGGAUGACGUCAAGUCCUCAUGGCCUUUAUGUCCAGGGCUACACACGUGCUACAAUGGAAAGUACAAUACGUCGCUACUUCGCGAGGAGAUGCUAAUCGUAAAAAACUUUCUACAGUUCGGAUUGG
RNAcentral lists this ribosomal RNA (505 nucleotides) under uncultured bacterium. RNAcentral describes it as "bacterial SSU rRNA". It matches the Rfam family "Bacterial small subunit ribosomal RNA", at positions 791 to 1301 of the family's 1533-position model. The record is from RNAcentral.